AAAGCUUUGGUCGAUAGUGUGAUCGAUAUCUUUGACUUCUGGUGAUCCUUAAACUAGUUAGGCAGCACUGAAAGGAAAUGGAAAGGAAAGGGAGUAAGCAUAAAGCUUAGUAAGUUGCAUAUAAAUAAGUAUACAACAACAAUUUAUCCAUAAUCAACAUGCUCAUAACACCAAAGUAGGCAUAAGUGUAACUUACUCAUUACCAUCCAUACAAGUCACCUAUUAUAUUUAUACUAAGCUCAUAUCUCAUACAUACCAAUUAGGUACCUGUACCAUUCAUAACACGGUUAUACUUUCCUUAUUAGUUUAAGAACAAAACAUUCACCGUUGAACCAUUUGGAACACUAGCGGAUAUUCAUUAAGCCUCAAACGUGGGUAAGGCACCGAAGUCAUGUCCUAGACAUGGUCUUACACUAGCUCACAUCUCAAUUUGAUGCCAUGUUCCAGACAUGGUCUAACACUGACUAUCAUCUCGUAGCUGAUGCAUGUCCCAGACAUGUCUUACACUGGCUUAUGUCUCAAGGCCAAUGCAUGUCCCAGACAUGUCUUACACUAGCUCUCAUCUCAAUGCCGAUGCCAUGUCCUAGAUAUGAUCUUACACUGGCUCUCAUAAUAUGGCCAAUGCAUGUCCCAGACAUGUCUUACGCUAGCCAACAACAACCCAUAAGUCACGGCAUGAAUAUCCGAUUUAUUUUCUAGGUCAAAUAGGAACUCUGCUAUCUCUAUUAUCAUCACACCAUCUCAAUUCCACAAUCAAGAAAAUCAUGCUAUAUUAAUUAAAUAACAAUUCAACACAUACAUUAGUAAAGUAGUUGUAUUAUUUACAUACAACUUACCUCGGAUUACAAAAUGUGGCGACUAGUUGGUUUAGUCAAUUUGCUUAGUUUUUUCCUCGGUCUAGGUUUGGAUUUGGUAAUUCUUGAUCUAAAAUAGAAAAAUGCACUCAUUUAAUCACUAAAUAAAAUUAAGCAAUUAAAAAUUCACAGCUUCAGUAAAAUGACCAUUUUACCACUAGACUUUGGCAAAAUGACCAUUUUACCCCUAUGCCUGAAAAUUGAUUUUUAUCAAAUUUUUUCACAUCUUAAGCCUAGUUGAACCCUUUUUACUCUUAUAACAACCCCAAAUUCUCUUUAUUUCACACAUUUAUAAUUCAUUUUACAACUUGUGCAAAAUGGUUCCUUUAGGUGUUUUCAUGGUAACACCUUUCCCAAAAGUUGUCUAUUACACAACUAAGACUCAUAUUCUUCCAUAGAAUUUAGAAAACACCCUAAAUUCUCUCAUGGAAAAACCCUAGACUUUCAACCAUAUUGUAAGAUAUACCCCUCAUUUGAAAGCUCAUGCUUCAAGGGUCUCAAAAAUACAAAAAUCAUCAACAAAUGACAUGGAAAUCACUUGUGACUGCUUCAAGUUGCUAAAAAUUUUAAGCUCUCAGACCCCCUUUAAUGGCCCAUUUUUGGUGGAGAAAAGAGAUGAGAAAGGGAUGAUAUCAUCCUUCUUUAAUUUAUUUCUAUUUUUAGUAAAAAAGUCACCUAACCCACAAAAUUUUGACAAUUUGACUACCUUUGUCUCCUAUGGCUGGGAGACCAAUCUCAAUAGGGUCUAAUUUCCCUUUAAAUACCCUCAAUUUUGGUUUUCUAACUAUUUGACACCUUUAGCUAUCAAUUUAGGACUUUUGCACUUUAUGCGGUUUAGUCUUUUUUUGCAAUUGGGCUCACAAACGUCAAAAUUAACUCACCAAAUUUUUCAUGUACUAUUAUAAAUGUGCUAUGACUCUAAAAUAAUAAUAAAAUAAUUACUCCAACUUUGAAUUUUUGGUCCCGAGACCACUAUUCUGACUAGCCCCAAAAUCAGGAUGUUAUAGACAGAAUCCGUAAACAAAGGGGCUGAGGAAUUCUGGGCGAAUAUUGAUGAUGACCUAGAGAGAGAAAAAUUUUGGUUAGAAAAUACCAUUGGGGUAUUUGAUGAGCUAUCAUGCAAACGUAGUGUCACUCCUGCGAGAUUCAGCUUAUCAAUGGUGGAACAUUCUCGUGUCAAUCGUACCGAGAGAGUGAGUAACUUGGGGAUUCUUUCAGGAAGAAUUCCAAAAGAAGUACAUUAGUCAUAGGUUCAUUGACCAAAGGAGGAAAGAAUUUCUAGAACUAAAGCAAGGCCGUAUGACUGUAACAGAGUAUGAACGUGAGUUCAUGAGGCUCAGCAAAUACAUUAGGGAGUGUGUAACUACCAAAGCCAUCAUGUGCAAGAAAUUUGAGGACGGAUUGAACGAAUAUAUCUGAUUAUUAGUUGGCAUCUUAGAAUUGAAGGUAUUUGUAGUGCUCAUAAAGAGAGCAUGUAAGGCCGAGGAAUUGGCCAAAGAGAAGAGAAAAGCUGACAUCGAGUCCCGAGACUCAAGGAAAAGAUAGAUGGUGGAAAUUACAUCAGUCCUCAUCUAAAAAGAUCGAGAGAGUUCACUACCCAAUCGAAUGCUUCAGUAGAGUUUUUGAGUAGAAAGAAGAACAAGCAACAAAUGACGUCGAAAGCUAAAACUACUUCUGUUGCGAGUGUUGGUAGUGGUUGCCUGAAUAGACCAGAAUGUUUACAGUGUGGCUGACGUCAUUUCGGUGAAUGCUGAGGAAAUGAAAGAGGCUAUUUUACGUGGGGGUCAUCGGACCAUUUUAUUCGUAAUUGUCCCAAGUUGAAUGAGAAAGAGAAAAGCCAAGACGUGAGGGCGAGUAGUGCUCUUUCAAAGGGUAGACCACAUAAGAGCCUUGGAAGUGGGGCUAGUAGUAGAGGUGUGCCAAGAGAUGCUACAGUGAGGUCCAAAGGUAGAGCCCCUGCAAGGACUUAUGCUAUACGUGCCUGUGAAGAGGCAGAGUCUCCCGAUGUAAUCACGGGUACCUUUUCUAUCCAUAAUAUAUCUAUUGUUGCUUUAAUUGACCCAGGGUCUACCUACUCUUAUAUUUGUAUGGAAUUGAUACCUCAUAUGAACAUGCUAAUACAGUCCGCUAAAUUUGUGGUAAAGGUGUCCAACCUUUUAGGUAGACAUGUGUUAGUUGACCAAGUGCGUAGAAAUUACCCUUUGACAAUUAGAGGUCAUUUUUUUUGGCUAAUUUGAUGUUAUUGCCAUUUAAUGAAUUUGAUGUAAUCUUUGGGGUGGAUUGGUUGACUUCUCAUAGUGUUGUAGUGGACUGUGGGAGAAAAGUUAUUAAGUUGAAGUGUGAAAGUGGGGAUGUUCUUCGGGUUGAAUCGGGUAGAACGGAUAACUUGCCUGUGGUGAUAUCAUCCAUGUUGGUAGUGAGAAACUUGAGAAAAGGAUAUGAGGCUUACCUCACUUUUGUGUUGAAUACCCAAAUGUCUGAGCCGAAGAUUGAAUCGUACCAGUGGUAUGUGAGUUUACGGACGUGUUUUAGGAGGAAUUACCUGGAUAGCCUCCAACCAGAGAAGUUGAGUUUGGUAUCGAGUUAGCCCCUGGUAUGGCACCUAUCUCGAUUACUCCGUAUAGAAUGGCUCCAAUGGAGUUAAAGGAGUUGAAGACUCAAUUACAAGAGUUAACGGAUAAAGGCUUUGCAAGACCGAGCUAUUCACCGUGGGGUGCUCCAGUAUUUUUUUGUGAAAAAGAAAAAUGGGUCGAUAAGAUUGUGCAUAGACUACCGAUAGCUCAAUAAGGUGACCGUGAAGAAAAAGUAUCCCUUGCCAAGAAUCGAUGAUCUGUUCGAUCAGUUGAAGGGAGCCACCAUGUUUUCUAAGAUAGAUUUAAGGUCAAGGUACUACCAGUUAAGGGUUAAGGAGCAAGACGUACCGAAAACUACUUUUUGGAUGAGGUACGGCCAUUAUGAGUUCCUCGUCAUACCCUUUCAUUUAACGAAUGCCCAUGUGGUAUUUAUGGAUUAAUGAACCGCAUUUUUUAACCCUAUUUGGAUAAGUUCGUCCUCAGUUUUAUCGGUGACAUAUUGAUUUAUUCGCGUGAUGAGAGCGAGCACGUGGAGCAUUUGAGAACGGUUCUACAAACCUUGAGAGAUAAGCAGUUAUACGCCAAGUUCACUAAGAGCAAAUUUUGGCUGCGAGAGGUCGAAUUCUUGGGACACAUUGUGUCGGGUGACGGGAUCAGAGUUGACUCGAGUAAGAUCUCGGCUAUUGUUGAGUGGAAAUCACUGAGGAAUGUGACAGAGGUUCGAAGCUUUCUGGGCUUAGCUAGGUACUACAGAGGAUUUGUUAAAGGAUUCUUGAUAAUAGCUACUCCGAUGACAAGGUUGUUACAGAAGGAUGCCAAGUUUGAAUAGACAGAGAAGUGCCAACAGAGUUUCGAGAAACUAAAGGUUUUGUUGACCAAAGCCCUAGUUUUAGUGCAACCGGAACCGAGAAAAGAGUUUGUGGUGUAUAGUGGUACAUCCUUGAAUGGGUUAGGGUGUGUGCUUAUGCAAGAAGGCAAGGUAAUAGCCUAUGCCUUGAGAUAGAUAAAGCGACACAAGAAGAAUUAUCCGACCCAUGAUUUGGAGCUAGCAGCCAUCGUGUUCGCAUUAAAAAUUUCAAGACACCAUUUGUAUGGUGAGAGAUGCCGAGUGUUCUUCGACCAUAAAAGCCUCAAGUAUUUGACGAAUCAGAAAGAGUCAAAUCUACGACGACGAAUAUGGCUAGAGUUGAUAAAAGAUUAUGAGUUGGUGAUUGACUACCACCCUAGAAAGGCUAAUGUAGUAGCCGAUGCAUUGAAUAGGAAAUCAUUGUUCGCCUUGAGGGCUAUGAAUACUCAAUUAACCAUGAUUGAUGAUGGCUCAAUUCUAGCCGAGAUAAGCGCUAGACCUACAUUUCUUUAAGUGAUUUGUGAGGCUCAGAAAGGUGAUAGAGACUUACAAGCUAAAAUGGCUCAGUGUGAGACGGGAAACGAAUCAGAGUUUAGUAUUGGUACCGAUGGUUGUAUAAUAUACCGAGAUAGAAUUUGUGUACCCAAGAUAAUAAGCUCAUUCAGAAGAUUUACGAAAAGCACAUAGUGGUUGUUUGUCUAUCCACUCGGGUAGUGUGAAAAUGUACAAUGACUUGAAGAAAAUGUAUUGGUGGUCGGGAAUGAAAGGAGACAUUUCAGAGUUCAUUUCUAAGUGUUUAAUUUGUUAACAAGAAAAAGCCGAACACCAAGUAAGUAACCAUGGAUUUUGUAUCAGGGUUACCAUUGAUGCCAAGGAAAAAGGAUUUCAUUUGGGUUGUUGUUGAUGGGCUUACAAAAAUGACAUAUUUUGUAUAGGUGCGUAUCGAUUAUUCCCUUGAGAAAUUGGUUGAAUUGUAUGUUUUCGAGAUCGUGAGAAUUCAUGGAGUACCUUUGUCGAUUAUUUUGGAUAGAGAUCCGAGGUUUACCUCACGAUUUUAGAGGAAGUUGCAAAAGGCAAUGGGGGCGAAAUUGAAUUUUAGCACGACUUUUCACCCCAAACUGAUGGUCAGUCAGAAAGGGUGAUUCAGAUCCUAGAAGACAUGUUACGGUGUUGUGUUCUCGAGUUUCAAGGCAGUUGGGAAAGGUAUUUACUGUUGGUCGAAUUCACCUACAACAACAGUUAUCAGUCAAGUCUGAAAAUGGCGCCUUAUAAGGCUUAGUAUGGGCGUAAGUGUUGAACACCCUUGUAUUGGACCGAGCUGAGAGAGAGUCAAAUACACGGGGUUGACUUAGUUAAAGAGACCAGAGAGAAAGUUAAGGUGAUUCACGAUUGUUUGAAGGCCGCUUCGGAUAGACAGAAAUCCUACGCGGAUUUGAAACAGAAAGAGAUCAAGUUUAAAGUCGGGGAUAAAGUGUUUUUAAAAGUAUCCCCGUAGAAGAGGGUUCUCCAAUUCAGAAGGAAAGGCAACUUAAGUCCACGGUUUGUUGGACUUUAUGAGGUGACUAGGAGAAUUGGACCAGUAGCAUACUGAUUAGCAUUGCCAUCAGAUUUAGAAAAGAUACACAAAUGUAUUCCAUGUGUCUAUGUUAUGUCGCUACCAUUUGGACCCCUCGUAUGUGAUCUCGCCGAUAGAGGUUGAGAUUAGCUCAGACAUGACUUAUGGCGAAGAGCCGGUUAAGAUUUUGGCUCGGAAUGUAAAACAAUUAAGGAAUAAGAGUAUUGCACUUGUUAAAGUAUUAUGGCAUAGACAUGGAGUCGAAGAAGCCACAUGGGAGCUCGAGGAGACCAUGAGAGACUGAUACCUGAAUCUAUUCAUCGGUAAGAUUUUCAGGGAUGAAAAUCCCUAAGAGGGAGAAUUGUAACAGGCCGAUUUUGGUCCCAAUCGGAACAGUGGUUUCGGGACCACUAAUCUGAGGGCAGAGAAAUUAUUUUUUUAAUAUUAUCUUAUGUGUUGUGGCAUGAUUAUAUGAGAGUAUGAAAAUUUUGGUGAAUUAAUUUUAGCAAUUUCAUGCUUAAUUGUGAAAAAAGACUAAAUCGCAUAAAGUGUAAAAGUCCUCUUUUGAUAUAGCUAAGGGUUUCAAAUAGCUAGAGAACAUAAAUUGGGGGUCUUUAAAGGGCAAUUAGACCCUUAAAAGACAAGCUAGUUGGCCAUAGAGACAUAAGGAGUCAAAAAGUCAAAAGAUUACUAGGGUUGGUAAUUGAUGACAUUAGCAAAUUGAAUAUUAAAAUAAAUUCAAAGGGGUCAUCUUUCUUCUCCAUUUUCGACCGAAAUAAUAGCCAUUAGAGGGGUUUUUGAAGCUUGAAAUUUCAUCCACUUAGUCUCUCUACAAGUAACUGAUCUUGAUGGUUUUUCUUGAUGAUUUUUGUACUUUUAGAACCCUUGUAGCAUGAGCUUUUAAAUAAGGGGACUAUUUUGCAAAAUGGUUGAAAGUCUAGGGUUUUACCAUUAGAGUGUUCAUGCUGUUUUCUAAAAUUUUAUGGAAGAAAAUGAAUCAUGGUUGUGAAAUAAACAACUUUUGUGAAGUAGUUUUCAUGGAAACCCUAACUAAAGACCAUUUUGCAUAAGUUGUAAAAUAGUUGAUAAAUGUGUGAAAUAAUGAGAAUUGUGGGUUCCUCUUAGUAUAAAAAGUAUUCGGCUAGGCUUUAUUAAUGAGAAAAUGUGAUAAAAAUUGAUUUUCAGGUCUAAGGGAAAAAUGGUCAUUUUGCCCAAUUAUGAAUUUUUGAGUACCUAGAUUAAUAAAAUGAUUAAAUUGUGAAUUUUUAUCAUUAUAGAUCAAGAAUUAAAAAAUUCGGGCCUAGACCGGGAAAAAGCAAAACAAGUGGACUAAGCAGAACUAGUCGUCUAGAUUUUGUAAUUUGAGGUAUGUUGUAUGUAAAUAAUAAAACUACAUUGUUAUUAUAUGUGUUUGAAUUGAUAUAGUAUAAAUUGCUUGUUUGUGGAAAUGAUUAUGUAUGAUGAAUAUUGAGAUAGUAGAACCCCCGUUUGAACCUUAGGAAAUAAAUCGGAUAUUCAUGCCAUGACAUUCGGGUUAUUUGUGUGUCAGUGUAAGACAUGUUUGGGACAUGCAUCGGCAACAUUAUGAGAGCCAGUGUAAGACCAUGUUUGGGACAUGGCAUUGGCAUUGAGAUGAGAGCUAGUGUAAGACAUGUCUAGGACAUGAAUCGGCCUCGAGAUGUAAGCCAGUGUAAGACAUGUCUGGAACAUGCAUCGGCUACGAGAUGUGUCAGUGUAAGACCAUGUCUGGGACAUGGCAUUGGCACGGAUAUGUGAGAGGUAGUGUAAGACCAUGUUUGGGACAUGGCAUCGGCCUCAAUUUUGAUAGUCAGUGUAAGACCAUGUCUGGGACAUGGCAUUGGCUUGAUGGAUGAGCCAGUGUAAGACCAUGUCUGGGACAUGGCUUCAGCAUUAUACCCUAUGUUUGAGCCCUAGUGAAUAUCUGAUAGCAUUCUAAAUUGUUCAACAGUGAGAGUUACAAUUUAAGUUAAACGAGAAAAGUAUAACCAUGUUGUGAGUGGUACAGGUACCUAUUUGAAAUGUAAGAGAUGUGAGCUCAAUAUAUGCUAUGUGAAUUGUAUUAGAUAGUGAUGAGUAAGUUGUGCUUAUGCCUACUUUUUUAUUAUGAGCAUGAUGAUGAAUGGUAAAGUUGUUGUUAUAUUUAUUUGCAUGCAGCUUACGAAGCUUUAUGCUUACUUCCUCUCAUUUCCAUUUUCUUAUAGUGCCGUCUAAUUAGCUCGAGGAUGUUUUGGCAAAGAAUAGAUGGAAUGAAAAUAUGCAAAUGAUAUCUUGAUAUGUAUUUGGUAUAUGAAUGGAUUAUGCAUGAUGUUGAUUAGGUAAUUGGGUAUGUAAAUGUUAGGUUUGAUAUGGAAAAUAAUGUGCAUUGAAAUGGUUAUUAUAAUUGCCAAUUGAGUUAUGAAAUGUGGUCAUUUAUGCUUGUGAAUACUUGUGUCUAUAGGGUGGUAAAUAUGGCUUUGCAAAUAGCCUACUUUUGUCCACACGGGCAGGGACACGGGCGUGUGUCUCACCCGUGUGUGACACACUGUCAUGUUGCACGGCCGUGUGUCCCCUAGUGUUGAAAUGAUAUGGAAGUCUGUAUGCUCCACACGGUCUCACACGGGCAUGUGACCAGCCAUGUGGUAUAAGUCAAUAUACCCUAUAGUUUUGGUACGGCCUGAUACACCGGCCUGUGUGGCCAUUUCCAAGGGCACAUUAGCUAGACACACGGGCGUGUGGUUGGUCGUGAGACCCAAGUCAGUAUCCUCUCUAGUUUUCACACAGCCUGGCAUACGGACAUGUCCUCAACUGUGUGACAUAAGCCAGUAUGUAUGCCCUGUUUCCACACGGUCUAAGACAUGGGCGUGUCUAUUAGCAAUGUGAGGUACAUGUCCUGUUCAUACGGGCGUGUGAUACUUAAAAUGUUGAAAUUUUUCUAAGUUUCUAAAUUUUUCAUAUGUUACCUAUUUAGUCCCGAAUGCAUGAUUUAAAUUUUGUAUGCUCGAUUUAAGUACAUAUUGAAUGAGAAUGAAUGAUAUUUACUGAAAUGAGAUGACAUUUGAUAAAUGAUUAUUCUAAAUUGAGUUACAAGUCCGGUAAUGCCUCUUAACCUAUUUUGGCAAAGGUUACGGGUUAGGGGUGUUACUUGAUCGGCUGCUUGGCCUAGUAGAGCAAAGGGUCACAAAGAGCAUGAAUGAUGAGUUGUUUAAACCUUUUACUGAGGAUGAAAUUUGGCACGUGGUGAAUACGAUGGCACCCGUUAAGGCCUCAAGAAUUGACGGUUUUCCAGCAAUGUUCUAUCAAAGGUAUUGGCAUCUUGUUGGGGCUGAAAUCACUAGCUAUUGUUUGUCUAUUUUAAAAGGGGAGAUUGAUAUGGUGAGAUUAAUAAAACCCAUUUAGUGUUAAUUCCAAAAGUCGAAAAACCGAAAAACCUCUCUCAAUUUCGACCUAUAAGCUUAUGUAAUGUGAUUUAUAAGAUUAUUGCGAAAGUUUUGGUGGAUCGAAUGAGUAUAGCGCUGGGAUACUGUAUUGAUAAAACUCAAGGGGCUUUUAUAUCAGGGAGACAGAUCUCGGAUAAUGUUUUAAUCGCUUAUGAGGUCUUACACUCUCUUAAAAUAAAGAAGAGGAGUAAACGAGGGAAUUUUACGCUUAAACUUUAUAUAAGCAAAGUGUAUGAUUGAGUUGAAUGGGAUUUUUUGCGGUAUGAUGUCUAGGUUAGGUUUCCAUAUAGAUUGGGUCGUUCUCAUCAUACGGUGUGUUUGUUCAGCUACUUAUACGAUGAGCAUUAAUGAGGGUAUUAGUGACUAUUUUUCUCUGUCACGAGGGUUGAGGCAAGGUGUCCCACUCAGCACUUAACUUUUCUUAAUCUGCACUGAAGGUCUUUCUAUAUUGCUAAAUGAGGCAAAACAUAAAAAUCUGAUGAUUGGAGCUCCGAUUGGAAGGGAAAGAUUUCCAAUUAAUCAUUUGCUAUUUGCAGACGAUUGCAUUCUUUUCGGUGAUGCUUUGAAGGAUGGGGCUCAUAUAGUUCAUAAUAUAAUUAUGGAAUAUGAACUGGUUUCGGGGCAACAAGUAAAUUUUGAUAAAUCGCAUAUUUAUUUUGGAGCAAGUGUGGGCCGACAUGAGAAGGUUUCGGUCACCAACAUUCUGGGAGUUUGGAUGGCUACAAAUCCGGAGAAAUAUUUGGGCUUCCCAAUGAUGGUUGGGAAAAAAAAGAGAUGGGCUUUUGCAAAUUUUGUGGACAGAUUCAGACGGAGGAUUGAGAGUUGGAGUCUCCGGUAUCUUUCGAUUGGGAUAAGGAAGUGUUCAUCAAUGUGGUGUUACAAGCAAUUCCUGUAUACGUUAUGCAAUGCUUUGCUUUACCAAAAACCUUAUGUCAAAUGCUAGAAGGUAUUUUGAACAAAUUUUGGUGGUCUAAUAGUCAAACUGCUAAAGGUAUUCAUUGGAUGGAGUGAGCUAUGUAUUCCCAAAGCUGAUGGUUGGCUAGGAUUUCGGGACCCCUUUUUGUUUAAUAAAGCUUUCUUAGCUAAGCAAGUUUGGCGACUUCUAUCCCAGCCCGAUUUUCUUUUAGCGAAAGUCUUUAAAGCUUGUUAUUAUCCUUUUACAGGUAUUAUGUCAGCUAGAGUUAGUUCUUACUCCUCAUUUACCUGGAGAAGCAUAUGCAGUGCUAGGGAGCUAAUUGCGAAUGGUUUACUUUGGCGAAUUGGUUGUGGUGAGGCUAUGAAUAUUUGGAAUGAUCCUUGGCUGCCUGGUCCUGGUAAUAGUAGGGUAUUAAUUCAGAAUAUUAGUAACCAUUGGACUAUAGUGAACCAUUUAAUUUAUGUAAAUUCGGAUACCUGGAACUAGGAAGUGAUCUAUAGGAUUGUUGACCAUGAACAAGCUAGUCCCAUUUUCAAUAUUCCCCUUGUAAUUUUCAGAGCACAGGAUAUGCUGGUUUGGCAUCAUGAUGCCACUGGGGAAUACUCAGUGAAGAGUGGGUAUCGAGCUUUAGUUACAGGAAAAAUUUAGCAUUCUGAAUACAACUCGAAUACUACAGACAAUUAGAAGAAAUUUUACAAGUUGAUUUGAGAUAUACAACUUCCUUCUAAAAUUAAAAUACACAUGUGGCGGUUACUCAAAGAUUAUGUACCUCACUUUAAUAACUUUAAUCAAACGAAGACUAAGAGUUGACAAUGUUUGGCCUCAGUGCAAGGAGGCUCCGGAGGAUUUUGACCACUUAUUGUGGUAUUGUGGUGUCUUAUGGCAACUCUGGCAGUCCUUGAAUCUCUCGAUUGAUCUCAAUAGGAAUACCUCGGAUUAUAAAAUUCAGUUAGUAAGCAUUUUUAUUGCAGCUUAAGAGGGUACCAAAAAAAUGUUACUCAUUUCUUUUUGGGCUUUUUGGUUUAAACAAAAUAAGACGAUUCAUGAAGAUCUUAAAUUCUCUAUGCAGGAUCUUUUGGGUUUUGUCUAGUGUUAUGUACAAGAAUUGAGUUUGAGUAAAUCUACUGUUUUUCCUCUUAAAUCUAAAGUGACUGAGUUGUGGCGACCCCCAAACCUUGGGUUUAUUAAAUUAAAUUUUGAUGCCUUUUUUAAGGGUGAAUCUAAUACCUCUAUUGUGGCAAUUAUAGCCCGUAAUGAUGUGGGUCAAAUAAUGGGUGCAUGUACUUACCCUUAUGUAGGCGUUGCAGAUGAUUUUGUUGCAGAAGCUAGGGCUUGUAAACAAGCACUCCUCUUUGCGAUUGAUAUGGGUUUCAGGGUGGUCAUUUUGGAAGGGGAUUCCUUAACAAUUAUCAAAAAAACUUAUGUUAUGGUUCAAACGGAAGUGGCUUACCAUUUUGUCCCAAGAGAUGUUAAUAGGGUAGCUCAUACUCUAGUUACGGAGGGGCGUAGGUGACUCUCACCAUAUUUUUGGGUUGAAGAGGCACCAGAUUCUGUCGAAAAAUUGGUGCCAGAGGACUGGUCUAAUUGGCUUCGUCAGCGAUGAUGAGUUUUUCAUUGGGCUUUGAAGUUUGGAGAAGGUUCUUUGAAUCUCCAAUGUUGGUUUUUCAAAGUUGUUUCCCUUUCUCGUUUUGGCUGCGAUGGUUUUCUGACGUUAAACGGAAAGGUUUUGGCCGGUAUUCUUUGUUGGGUGUUCUUUUGGGGAUUGUUUGUGAUUUUUUCGUUUAUGGCUUUGGUUUUUUGUGUGCUUUCAUUUUCUUGUUUUGUUUUGGCAAUAUUUGCUUUUGUUGUCUUUUCAUUUUUCUUUGUGGUGUUUGUUUUGUUAGAUAUUUUUUGAGCCAGUCCCUUUAUUAAUGAAUACCUAUUUUCGAAGCA
Molecule: long non-coding RNA, 12114 nt
Filed under: Gossypium barbadense (sea-island cotton)
Lineage: Eukaryota; Viridiplantae; Streptophyta; Magnoliopsida; Malvales; Malvaceae
Description: long non-coding RNA (GBAR_LNC002247)
Source: RNAcentral